GACGAACGCUGGCGGCGUGCUUAACACAUGCAAGUCGAACGGAAAGGCCCCUUCGGGGGUACUCGAGUGGCGAACGGGUGAGUAACACGUGGGCAAUCUGCCCUGCACUUCGGGAUAAGCCUGGGAAACUGGGUCUAAUACCGGAUAGGACCACUUGGCGCAUGCCUUGUGGUGGAAAGCUUUUGCGGUGUGGGAUGGGCCCGCGGCCUAUCAGCUUGUUGGUGGGGUGAUGGCCUACCAAGGCGACGACGGGUAGCCGGCCUGAGAGGGUGUCCGGCCACACUGGGACUGAGAUACGGCCCAGACUCCUACGGGAGGCAGCAGUGGGGAAUAUUGCACAAUGGGCGCAAGCCUGAUGCAGCGACGCCGCGUGGGGGAUGACGGCCUUCGGGUUGUAAACCUCUUUCAGCAGGGACGAAGCGAAAGUGACGGUACCUGCAGAAGAAGCACCGGCCAACUACGUGCCAGCAGCCGCGGUAAUACGUAGGGUGCGAGCGUUGUCCGGAAUUACUGGGCGUAAAGAGCUCGUAGGUGGUUUGUCGCGUUGUUCGUGAAAACCGGGGGCUUAACCCUCGGCGUGCGGGCGAUACGGGCAGACUAGAGUACUGCAGGGGAGACUGGAAUUCCUGGUGUAGCGGUGGAAUGCGCAGAUAUCAGGAGGAACACCGGUGGCGAAGGCGGGUCUCUGGGCAGUAACUGACGCUGAGGAGCGAAAGCGUGGGGAGCGAACAGGAUUAGAUACCCUGGUAGUCCACGCCGUAAACGGUGGGUACUAGGUGUGGGUUUCCUUCCUUGGGAUCCGUGCCGUAGCUAACGCAUUAAGUACCCCGCCUGGGGAGUACGGCCGCAAGGCUAAAACUCAAAGGAAUUGACGGGGGCCCGCACAAGCGGCGGAGCAUGUGGAUUAAUUCGAUGCAACGCGAAGAACCUUACCUGGGUUUGACAUGCACAGGACGCGUCUAGAGAUAGGCGUUCCCUUGUGGCCUGUGUGCAGGUGGUGCAUGGCUGUCGUCAGCUCGUGUCGUGAGAUGUUGGGUUAAGUCCCGCAACGAGCGCAACCCUUGUCUCAUGUUGCCAGCGGGUAAUGCCGGGGACUCGUGAGAGACUGCCGGGGUCAACUCGGAGGAGGGUGGGGAUGACGUCCAGUCAUCAUGCCCCUUAUGUCCAGGGCUUCACACAUGCUACAAUGGCCGGUACAAAGGGCUGCGAUGCCGCAAGGUUAAGCGAAUCCUUUUAAAGCCGGUCUCAGUUCGGAUCGGGGUCUGCAACUCGACCCCGUGAAGUCGGAGUCGCUAGUAAUCGCAGAUCAGCAACGCUGCGGUGAAUACGUUCCCGGGCCUUGUACACACCGCCCGUCACGUCAUGAAAGUCGGUAACACCCGAAGCCAGUGGCCUAACCCUUGGGAGGGAGCUGUCGAAGGUGGGAUCGGCGAUUGGGACG
This 1441-nucleotide ribosomal RNA is filed under the name Mycobacterium europaeum. Its description in RNAcentral is "bacterial SSU rRNA". It matches the Rfam family "Bacterial small subunit ribosomal RNA". Lineage: Bacteria; Bacillati; Actinomycetota; Actinomycetes; Mycobacteriales; Mycobacteriaceae. The record is from RNAcentral.